ACAUGACCCUGCCUUGGUAAUGUUUUAGAAUUUCCAUGGCAAAGAUUCUAAUAAGACAAACACACCUGACACUUAAAAUAGUGCUUGGCACUUAGCAAAUACUCAAUAACUAUUAGGUAUUAUUUUUAUUAUUUCAAUUAUACUUUUUAAGGAAUUAAAAUAUAAUACAAUUUCUAUUUAACAUUAUUUAAUCUUUCUUGGGUAACAAAAGCAGAGGCAUCAAUAGUUUGGUAAUUCUGUUAGUCAGGGAGUUGACAUCAGUGUAAGCUGGACCUCACUGCAUAAUGUGAAUUAGGAAUGAACAUCCCAGCUUUGCCCAGGGGCCAUCCAGCUUGCGUGAGAUAAAUCUGGACCUGAAUGUCAAUUUACUAA
Molecule: long non-coding RNA, 372 nt
Filed under: Homo sapiens (human)
Lineage: Eukaryota; Metazoa; Chordata; Mammalia; Primates; Hominidae
Description: non-protein coding lnc-MBOAT1-9:2
Source: RNAcentral